AUGAAACCAUUGACAUCUAAAACAGAGAGGAAUGGCCGCAAGUGCUGGUUGACCACGUUCCUGCUGGCAAACUACUCAAGACAGAAGACAUCAUCAGCGUCUAAGCCUGCUGUUCUUCAGCAUCUACAGACAGCAAAUCUGACUGCUGGCUCCAACAACAACAGGCAUCACACGGCCAGUGUAGUGGCAAGGCGUCACCAUAGAGCUCAGCACCGCCUUCUCAACCUCGGCAGAGGCAUUCCUCCUCAGCAAGCACAUGACAUACUCCAUCACUACGGCGUCACAGGGCAGCGUGAUCUUGCCAUCACUUGCGAAGCCAAACUCCUCCUGGGACAUCCUCAGGAGCUCGCCCAAGACCCCCGUGCCGAGGUACACCAGCGGGACCUCGAAGCGCCUCCCGUCGGCCGUGUACAUGACGCAGUGGCCCUUGGCCGGUGCGGAGGUGCAGCAUCCUUGGUCUUCCUUGGCCGCCGCGGUGAGCCUCUUCCUCCCGAGCGCUUCCACCCUCUUUGCCAGCUGAGCGAGUCUCUUGGCGCCGGCCAUGGUUCUGGCUGGGUGUUGGUUCUCAGCUGGAGAUUUGGGGAAAGUGUGCUGCUGUCUGCUAUGGAUGUUGCAAUGCUCAGCUGGUGGCGGAUAUGUUUAACGAUCAGGUGA
This 654-nucleotide ribosomal RNA is filed under the name Triticum aestivum (bread wheat). RNAcentral's name for it is "partial small subunit ribosomal RNA". The record is from RNAcentral. Lineage: Eukaryota; Viridiplantae; Streptophyta; Magnoliopsida; Poales; Poaceae.